GUGGGGAAUCUUCCGCAAUGGACGAAAGUCUGACGGAGCAACGCCGCGUGAGUGAAGAAGGUUUUCGGAUCGUAAAGCUCUUUCGUUAGGGACGAACGUGCUCUUUGUGAAUAAUGAGGAGUAAUGACGGUACCUAAAUAAGAAGCCACGGCUAACUACGUGCCAGCAGCCGCGGUAAUACGUAGGUGGCAAGCGUUGUCCGGAAUUAUUGGGCGUAAAGCGCGCGCAGGCGGGAUAUCAAGUCUGUCUUAAAAGUGCGAGGCUCAACCUCGUGGGGGGACAGAAACUGGUAUUCUUGAGUGUCGGAGAGGAAAGUGGAAUUCCAAGUGUAGCGGUGAAAUGCGUAGAGAUUUGGAAGAACACCAGUGGCGAAGGCGACUUUCUGGACGAUGUCUGACGCUGAGGCGCGAAAGCUAGGGGAGCGAACGGGAUUAGAUACCCUUGUAGUCC
Molecule: ribosomal RNA, 450 nt
Filed under: uncultured bacterium
Lineage: Bacteria
Description: partial 16S ribosomal RNA
Rfam family: Bacterial small subunit ribosomal RNA
Source: RNAcentral